GAUGAACGCUGGCGGCGUGCCUAAUACAUGCAAGUCGAGCGAACAGAUAAGGAGCUUGCUCCUUUGCCGUUAGCGGCGGACGGGUGAGUAACACGUGGGUAACCUACCUAUAAGACUGGAAUAACUCCGGGAAACCGGGGCUAAUGCCGGAUAACAUUUAGAACCGCAUGGUUCUAAAGUGAAAGAUGGUUUUGCUAUCACUUAUAGAUGGACCCGCGCCGUAUUAGCUAGUUGGUAAGGUAACGGCUUACCAAGGCAACGAUACGUAGCCGACCUGAGAGGGUGAUCGGCCACACUGGAGCUGCGACACGGUCCAGACUCCUACGGGAGGCAGCAGUAGGGAAUCUUCCACAAUGGGCGAAAGCCUGACGGAGCAACGCCGCGUGAGUGAUGAAGGUCUUCGGAUCGUAAAACUCUGUUAUUAGGGAAGAACAAAUGUGUAAGUAACUGUGCACGUCUUGACGGUACCUAAUCAGAAAGCCACGGCUAACUACGUG
RNAcentral lists this ribosomal RNA (497 nucleotides) under uncultured bacterium. RNAcentral's name for it is "partial 16S ribosomal RNA". It matches the Rfam family "Bacterial small subunit ribosomal RNA", at positions 28 to 507 of the family's 1533-position model. The record is from RNAcentral.